AUUGAACGCUGGCGGCAGGCCUAACACAUGCAAGUCGAGCGUGCGGCGGACGGGUGAGUAAUGUCUGGGAAACUGCCUGAUGGAGGGGGAUAACUACUGGAAAAGGUAUCUAAUACCGCAUACCAUCAGAUGUGCCCAGAUGGGAUGAGCUAGGCGGUGGGGUAACGGCUCACCUAGUCGACGAUCCCUAGCUGGCCUGAGAGGAGGACCAGCCACACUGGAACUGAGACACGGUCCAGACUCCUACGGGAGGCAGCAGUGGGGAAUAUUGCACAAUGGGCGCAAGCCUGAUGCAGCCAUGCCGCGGGUGUGAAGAAGGCCUUCGGGUUGUAAAGCACUUUCAGCGGGGAGGCGUUACCCGCAGAAGAAGCACCGGCUAACUCCGUGCCAGCCGCCGCGGUAAUUC
This 406-nucleotide ribosomal RNA is filed under the name uncultured bacterium. RNAcentral's name for it is "partial 16S ribosomal RNA". It matches the Rfam family "Bacterial small subunit ribosomal RNA", at positions 30 to 526 of the family's 1533-position model. The record is from RNAcentral.